RNAcentral lists this non-coding RNA (45 nucleotides) under Trichobilharzia regenti. Lineage: Eukaryota; Metazoa; Platyhelminthes; Trematoda; Strigeidida; Schistosomatidae. The record is from RNAcentral.
AUCCAGAUGACGAGUUCCAAAUAGGACGAAAAAUGCAUCCUUGAU